AGUGAACGCUGGCGGUAGGCCUAACACAUGCAAGUCGAACGGCAGCACAGUAAGAGCUUGCUCUUACGGGUGGCGAGUGGCGGACGGGUGAGGAAUACAUCGGAAUCUACUUUUUCGUGGGGGAUAACGUAGGGAAACUUACGCUAAUACCGCAUACGACCUACGGGUGAAAGCAGAGGAUCUUCGGACCUUGCGCGAUUGAAUGAGCCGAUGUCGGAUUAGCUAGUUGGCGGGGUAAAGGCACACCAAGGCGACGAUCCGUAGCUGGUCUGAGAGGAUGAUCAGCCACACUGGAACUGAGACACGGUCCAGACUCCUACGGGAGGCAGCAGUGGGGAAUAUUGGACAAUGGGCGCAAGCCUGAUCCAGCCAUACCGCGUGGGUGAAGAAGGCCUUCGGGUUGUAAAGCCCUUUUGUUGGGAAAGAAAAGCAGCAGGUUAAUACCCCGCUGUUCUGACGGUACCCAAAGAAUAAGCACCGGCUAACUUCGUG
RNAcentral lists this ribosomal RNA (492 nucleotides) under uncultured bacterium. RNAcentral describes it as "partial 16S ribosomal RNA". It matches the Rfam family "Bacterial small subunit ribosomal RNA", at positions 29 to 507 of the family's 1533-position model. The record is from RNAcentral.